RNAcentral lists this transfer RNA (57 nucleotides) under Capra hircus (goat). It matches the Rfam family "tRNA", at positions 8 to 63 of the family's 71-position model. Rfam says of the family: Transfer RNA (tRNA) molecules are approximately 80 nucleotides in length. Their secondary structure includes four short double-helical elements and three loops (D, anti-codon, and T loops). Further hydrogen bonds mediate the characteristic L-shaped molecular structure. tRNAs have two regions of fundamental functional importance: the anti-codon, which is responsible for specific mRNA codon recognition, and the 3' end, to which the tRNAs corresponding amino acid is attached (by aminoacyl-tRNA synthetases). tRNAs cope with the degeneracy of the genetic code in two manners: having more than one tRNA (with a specific anti-codon) for a particular amino acid; and 'wobble' base-pairing, i.e. permitting non-standard base-pairing at the 3rd anti-codon position. RNAcentral also lists the same sequence under 1 other name. The record is from Rfam by way of RNAcentral. Lineage: Eukaryota; Metazoa; Chordata; Mammalia; Artiodactyla; Bovidae.
UGGCUCAGAUGGUAAAGCGUCUGCCUGCAAUGCAGGAGACCCAGGUUCAAUUCCUGG